AGGUACAACAGAGACAGCUGUUUGUCCCCCAGUAUCCUUCAGACAAAGCCAUAUAUGAUUGAAGGUUAUCAGUACUGUGCUUUUGGAGGAUUCAGAAGAAGUUAUAUCUGAUUGGGAGAUUGAAAAGGAUUGGCCUGAAGGAGAGGUGGUUUUUGAACUGCAUCUUAAAGGAUGAGGAAACUGAGGCUGAGAGGGUAGAGAACUUUGCCUGAGGUCACUCAGCAGGGACCCACCCAUCACAGUAAAUGCCAGCACUGCUGAUGCCAAAACAAUGUUAUUUGUAGGCCCUCGGAAUUUGUGACCUGAAGGAAGAAGAGCAGGGCCGUGGGAAGUAUGUAACCAGUGUCAUGCCCCUGGUCCCAAGGAAGCAGUGGCUUGGUAAAGAGGGGACCCCCGUCAAUAACUCCCUGUAAUUACUGGGCACCCACUCUGAGCUCCUCAGUGGAAUCCUAAGGUUAAUAAGACUGUCUCUAGCCACUGGGGCUCCCAGCCUGGAGUGAGGAUUGCAGAGUUCAGCUGGCCAUCAUCCACCAGCCGGGGGACUGUGCACAUCAGUUAACCUCUCCUCUCAGGCCUUGAAAAGCACCAGGCUUAGUACACGUUUGUUAAAUGAAUGCACUGCAGUUUUUUUGCUUGUUAAAGGCAGGUAAUAAUAAUGAUAUUGCUGACUAAGGGCUCCCAUCCACUCCCAGUGAGCCCGGUGCCCCCCCGGGCCUCCUCAGUGAGCUGAGGAGGCUCAGCAGUGCCUGCACGUCCCCUCGCCACAAUGUCAUGUGCCACCUCUUCAAAGGAGGGAUGUACCAGCUAGUGGACGUGACCUUGACUGCAAAGGGCGGCACGCAGCUGAUGUAAUGGUCGCUUAAGUGUUCACAAAUGCCUGAACACCCUGUCCUACCUGGUCCUACCUGGAUGCUGGCCUCAGUAAGCUCCUGGGCUCAUUGAAGAUGAACCUAGCAGUAGUAUUUACACCACUUGUUGUGUGCCCACUGUGGGCCCGGCGCCAUGCCGAGUGCUCUAUGGAUGUGAGUGCUGGGAGAGAAAAGCAUACGACAUAGACAGGGAGGUCAAGCUCCACCACGCAGAUGAGGUGCAGGCCACCAGUCUUCCUCUGCCACAUCUCUUUCUGAAAAGGACUUCACAUUCACCCUUGCAAUCCAUGUGGGGACACUGUUGGAUAGGAGGCGUGGUCCCAGCGUGGUCUCCCUGUCUGGGCCUCUGCCUAUGCCAAAUGUUUGCCUUACGCUGCACACUCAAGAGGUUCCAUGUAUACAGAUGGGAAUUCCAGAGCUACAGAAAAGGCAGCAAGCACCAUGAUUUAAGCUAACCAGUGUGGAUUCACACCUUCCUCUCUCUCUAUCAGUGGCAGAACUACCAGCUAGAGUAAGAAGUGGUUGAUCCAGGACCUAAACAUUCUGGAAACUCUUGCCCACUUCUGGGAGAAAUGACCCAAUCCAUAGUACUAAGCACACCUUAACUUUCGUAGGACGCAGGCAAGUUGUCAUACCGUGUGCCUAAAUAUAGAAAAAUGAUCCACUGGACUAAUAAAGUGUUAAAUAAAA
Molecule: long non-coding RNA, 1559 nt
Filed under: Homo sapiens (human)
Lineage: Eukaryota; Metazoa; Chordata; Mammalia; Primates; Hominidae
Description: long intergenic non-protein coding RNA 2395
Source: RNAcentral